UAAUCUUUUUAGAAAUCAAACCGAAAUAAGCUGGAUAGUUCAAACUCAAACAUAUCAAACUGAACAAUCUCAAGAAAUCAAGAGAAAAUGAGAACUUGCAAAGUUGGGAUAUAUCCAACCAAGCCUGAUACACAUAUAUACUCUCCUUAGUGUUCACUUACCUUAUCGCAUAACAUUUCAACGUCAGCUUCGCUCAGAGGCUCGCAUUUUUUCAACUGUUCGAUCCAUCUGUCAACGUCUCCUAGAGUAGCGUCAUUCGCCUCCGGAGCAAGCUUACUAUCAUUUGCUGGAUCUAUAGACAUUAAUUAUGGAAUUUU
Schizosaccharomyces pombe (fission yeast) is the source of this 317-nucleotide non-coding RNA. The record is from the annotation of a GenBank genome assembly. Lineage: Eukaryota; Fungi; Ascomycota; Schizosaccharomycetes; Schizosaccharomycetales; Schizosaccharomycetaceae.